UACGGGGGGGGCAAGCGUUGUUCGGAAUUACUGGGCGUAAAGGGCUCGUAGGCGGCCAACUAAGUCAGACGUGAAAUCCCCAGGCUCAACCUGGGAACUGCGUCUGAUACUGGAUGGCUUGAAUCCGGGAGAGGGAUGCAGAAUUCCAGGUGUAGCGGUGAAAUGCGUAGAUAUCUGGAGGAACACCGGUGGCGAAGGCGGCAUCCUGGACCGGUAUUGACGCUGAGGCGCGAAAGCGUGGGGAGCAAACAGG
Molecule: ribosomal RNA, 253 nt
Filed under: uncultured bacterium
Lineage: Bacteria
Description: partial 16S ribosomal RNA
Rfam family: Bacterial small subunit ribosomal RNA
Source: RNAcentral